AUACGGAGGGAGCGAGCGUUAAUCGGAAUUACUGGGCGUAAAGCGCGCGUAGGCGGCUUUGUAAGUCGGAUGUGAAAGCCCUGGGCUUAACCUGGGAAUGGCAUUCGAUACUGCAGAGCUAGAGUAUGGUAGAGGGAAGUGGAAUUUCCGGUGUAGCGGUGAAAUGCGUAGAUAUCGGAAGGAACACCAGUGGCGAAGGCGACUUCCUGGGCCAAUACUGACGCUGAGGUGCGAAAGCGUGGGGAGCAAACAGGAUUAGAAACCCCUGUAGUCC
RNAcentral lists this ribosomal RNA (274 nucleotides) under uncultured bacterium. RNAcentral describes it as "partial 16S ribosomal RNA". It matches the Rfam family "Bacterial small subunit ribosomal RNA", at positions 523 to 796 of the family's 1533-position model. The record is from RNAcentral.